GUCAUAAGUUGAAUCAAUUUGAAAAUUAACAUCUGGUCUAUACUCAUAGCCAUCUUGUUCUGUUUCCUCAGGAUCAAAUCCAAAAUAUUCUGCCCAUUUCCUCAGCUUCUCAUCCAUUCUAUCGGAUAACGAGUCAGAACUCUCAUCUAUGCCCUCCAAACCAUCACCUUCCCAACUAUCUCCUUCAUUCCGUAUGGAACCAGUCCUGUUGCGAGUGUUUGCAAGUCUGUCAAGCUUUUGGAAAAAGGAGUCAGUAGCUGAGCUGCUCCCAGAAAUGCCACCAAAUAUCCGGUGCUCAAACUCAUCACGUGACUCAAAAGAAUUAGGACUUUCUUUAUCAUCAAUUCUAUCACCUGAAGUAGCAUUUGUAGAGAGAGGUUUAACGAAAUGGGGAGUGAGUCUUCGGACAGACAAGUAACUGAUAAUGGAUCGCAACGCAACGCCACCUGUUCUUAUCAUUUCUUCUACCAGAAAUUUUCGAGAAAUUGCUUCAAUUCUAUCAGUAGCUUCUUCG
Molecule: unclassified non-coding RNA, 514 nt
Filed under: Hevea brasiliensis (rubber tree)
Lineage: Eukaryota; Viridiplantae; Streptophyta; Magnoliopsida; Malpighiales; Euphorbiaceae
Source: RNAcentral